Non-coding RNA from Anolis carolinensis (green anole), 46 nucleotides. NCBI's taxonomy places the organism in Eukaryota, Metazoa, Chordata, Lepidosauria, Squamata, Anolidae. The record is from Rfam.
CAGAAGGCUCUCAUCAGAGCCACAAAACAGAAUGCAUAGAAACUAG